This 422-nucleotide ribosomal RNA is filed under the name uncultured bacterium. RNAcentral's name for it is "bacterial SSU rRNA". It matches the Rfam family "Bacterial small subunit ribosomal RNA", at positions 378 to 793 of the family's 1533-position model. The record is from RNAcentral.
CAAGCCUGAUGCAGCCAUGCCGCGUGUAUGAAGAAGGCCUUCGGGUUGUAAAGUACUUUCAGCAGUGAGGAAGGUGGUGUCGUUAAUAGCGGCAUCAUUUGACGUUAGCUGCAGAAGAAGCACCGGCUAACUCCGUGCCAGCAGCCGCGGUAAUACGGAGGGUGCGAGCGUUAAUCGGAAUUACUGGGCGUAAAGCGCAUGCAGGUGGUUUGUUAAGUCAGAUGUGAAAGCCCGGGGCUCAACCUCGGAAUUGCAUUUGAAACUGGCAGACUAGAGUACUGUAGAGGGGGUAGAAUUUCAGGUGUAGCGGUGAAAUGCGUAGAGAUCUGAAGGAAUACCGGUGGCGAAGGCGGCCCCCUGGACAGAUACUGACACUCAGAUGCGAAAGCGUGGGGAGCAAACAGGAUUAGAUACCCUGGUAG